UGGGGAAUAUUGGACAAUGGGCGAAAGCCUGAUCCAGCCAUGCCGCACGAGUGAAGAAGGCCUUUGGGUUGUAAAGCUCUUUUAGUGAGGAAGAUAAUGACGGUACUCACAGAAGAAGUCCUGGCUAACUCCGUGCCAGCAGCCGCGGUAAUACGGAGAGGGCUAGCGUUAUUCGGAAUUAUUGGGCGUAAAGGGCGCGUAGGCUGGUUAAUAAGUUAAAAGUGAAAUCCCGAGGCUUAACCUUGGAAUUGCUUUUAAAACUAUUAAUCUAGAGAUUGAAGAGGAUAGAGGAAUUCCUGAUGUAGAGGUAAAAUUCGUAAAUAUUAGGAGGAACACCGGUGGCGAAGGCGUCUAUCUGGUUCAAAUCUGACGCUGAAGCGCGAAGGCGUGGGGAGCAAACA
RNAcentral lists this ribosomal RNA (401 nucleotides) under uncultured bacterium. RNAcentral's name for it is "partial 16S ribosomal RNA". It matches the Rfam family "Bacterial small subunit ribosomal RNA", at positions 355 to 774 of the family's 1533-position model. The record is from RNAcentral.